RNAcentral lists this ribosomal RNA (253 nucleotides) under uncultured bacterium. RNAcentral's name for it is "partial 16S ribosomal RNA". It matches the Rfam family "Bacterial small subunit ribosomal RNA", at positions 524 to 776 of the family's 1533-position model. The record is from RNAcentral.
UACAGAGGUCCCAAGCGUUGUUCGGAUUCACUGGGCGUAAAGGGUGCGUAGGCGGUCGGGUAAGUCUGAUGUGAAAUCUCACAGCUUAACUGUGAAACUGCAUUGGAUACUAUCCGGCUAGAGGAAUGGAGGGGAGACUGGAAUACUUGGUGUAGCAGUGAAAUGCGUAGAUAUCAAGUGGAACACCAGUGGCGAAGGCGGCUUGCCAGAACGCGCUCGACGGUGAGGGAUGAAAGCUGGGGGAGCAAACCGG